AUCGAAUUUUACAGUCUGUAAGGGGUUAUUCGGAAAUUUGCCCACGAAAGUAAAUCUGGAAGAUUCGGUUUCUUCCGUCUUCCACUCUUCCACUUCUCUGAUAUAUUUUCGUGUGGAUUAGGGUCGGGCUUUACGAUUCCGAACAAUACCAUUCGAUUGACAAAAGUUUCAUCAGUAUUUUUGCAGAAUCAUCCUUCAUUCUGCGUAAAGGAGAUGAUGUCGACUCCAACUACAUUGAGGGACCUGCUAUGACUCAGCUGGCGUAAUUAAUUCUAAUUUGCAGAGGUUUUGUCCCAAGUUAUGUAAAACCUAUGAUGACAGUGUGUUGGAUGGUCAUUAGUUGCAUUUUGGAGGAGGUUUUAUGAGUUUUUUUUUUCUUUUCUGAAAAAUUGGCUCAUCCAAAAACUAAAAGAAAGCAAUUGAUUAUAUUAAAUAUGAAAUCCAAUUUUUGUGUGUGUUGCUCUGUUCUGCAUUUUCCUCAUUUUCACCCAAACAAUAGAUGCAAUUUCAGAGGAUGGAGUGAAGGAUGGUGGUGGCGAAGAAGGUGCUGCAAGGAUCGGCGCCGCCGAGCUGCGUGCGGCGGUGAUUUUGAUUAAGAGACCCCUGGGUUAUGCUUUCAUUGAUUUUGAUUUGUUGCUUGUAUCAGAAAUGAAUCUUGCGAUGGCGAAAGAUGUAAAUGAGAGUAAUUGUGUAAUUGAUUUUUUUUAUUUGUUUUAGUGAAUUAUGAUAUUGAUGUUCUUGUA
Salvia miltiorrhiza (redroot sage) is the source of this 743-nucleotide long non-coding RNA. RefSeq lists it as uncharacterized. The transcript has 2 exons. The record is from RefSeq and is a predicted model, not a curated record. Lineage: Eukaryota; Viridiplantae; Streptophyta; Magnoliopsida; Lamiales; Lamiaceae.